This 556-nucleotide long non-coding RNA is filed under the name Anser cygnoides (Swan goose). Its description in RNAcentral is "lncRNA (ENSACDG00005005152.1)". The record is from RNAcentral. Lineage: Eukaryota; Metazoa; Chordata; Aves; Anseriformes; Anatidae.
AUGGAGGAUGCUCGAGGCAUGCCGGAGCGGGAGGAUGCCGGAGCUGGAAGAUGCUCGAGGCACGCCGGAGCUGGGGAGGCUGGAGGAUAGCGGAGCCGGGAUGCUGGGGGAAGCUGCAGGGUGCCGGAGCCAGGAUGCUGGAGGGUGCUGAAGCCAGGAUGCUGGAGGGUGCUCGAGGAUGCCGGAGCCGGGAUGCUCGAGGAUGCUCAAGGAUGUUGGAGCCAGGGUGCUGGAGGAUGCUGGAGGAUGCUGGAGCCAGGGUGCUCGAGGAUGUUGGAGGAUGCUGGAGCCAGGGUGCUGGGGGAUGCUGGAGGAUGCCUGAGCACACUGGAGCCAGGACGGCGGAGGAUGCUGGAGCCAGGAUGCUCAAGGCAGCCCCGUGCCCCCCCAGGACCACGAAAAACCCAGCUCAUUUCCUGGGGGAGGUCUCCGUCCCUGUGGGUCACCGUCCCCAUGGGUCACCAUCCCCAGGGGUCACCGUCCCUAUGGGUCACCAGCGUCGGGGGCUGCUCGGUGCGGACCUGGCCCCCCCCCGGACACUCCCCCCUGGCUCUGG